GUGUGAUAGCUUAAUUGGCUAAAGCACGCAACCGGGAUUUGUGGGAUGCUGGUUCGAGUCCAGCUCACCACC
Molecule: non-coding RNA, 72 nt
Organism: Thalassiosira oceanica
Lineage: Eukaryota; Bacillariophyta; Thalassiosirophyceae; Thalassiosirales; Thalassiosiraceae
Source: Rfam